CUCCUACGGGAGGCAGCAGUGAGGAAUAUUGGUCAAUGGGCGAGAGCUGAACCAGCCAAGUAGCGUGCAGGAUGACGGCCCUAUGGGUUGUAAACUGCUUUUAUAAGGGAAUAAAGUGAGUCUCGUGAGACUUUUUGCAUGUACCUUAUGAAUAAGGACCGGCUAAUUCCGUGCCAGCAGCCGCGGUAAUACGGAAGGUCCGGGCGUUAUCCGGAUUUAUUGGGUUUAAAGGGAGCGUAGGCCGGAGAUUAAGCGUGUUGUGAAAUGUAGAUGCUCAACGUCUGCACUGCAGCGCGAACUGGUUUCCUUGAGUACGCACAAAGUGGGCGGAAUUCGUGGUGUAGCGGUGAAAUGCUUAGAUAUCACGAAGAACUCCGAUUGCGAAGGCAGCUCACUGGAGCGCAACUGACGCUGAAGCUCGAAAGUGCGGGUAUCGAACAGGAUUAGAUACCCUGGUAGUCCGCACGGUAAACGAUGGAUGCCCGCUGUUGGUCUGAAUAGGUCAGCGGCCAAGCGAAAGCAUUAAGCAUCCCACCUGGGGAGUACGCCGGCAACGGUGAAACUCAAAGGAAUUGACGGGGGCCCGCACAAGCGGAGGAACAUGUGGUUUAAUUCGAUGAUACGCGAGGAACCUUACCCGGGCUUGAAUUGCAGAGGAAGGAUUUGGAGACAAUGACGCCCUUCGGGGUCUCUGUGAAGGUGCUGCAUGGUUGUCGUCAGCUCGUGCCGUGAGGUGUCGGCUUAAGUGCCAUAACGAGCGCAACCCCUCUCCUUAGUUGCCAUCAGGUCAUGCUGGGCACUCUGGGGACACUGCCACCGUAAGGUGUGAGGAAGGUGGGGAUGACGUCAAAUCAGCACGGCCCUUACGUCCGGGGCUACACACGUGUUACAAUGGCAGGUACAGAGAGAUGGUGUUCUGCAAAGCGCAUCUAAUCCUUAAAGCCUGUCUCAGUUCGGACUGGGGUCUGCAACCCGACCCCACGAAGCUGGAUUCGCUAGUAAUCGCGCAUCAGCCAUGGCGCGGUGAAUACGUUCCCGGGCCUUGUACACACCGC
Molecule: ribosomal RNA, 1055 nt
Filed under: uncultured bacterium
Lineage: Bacteria
Description: bacterial SSU rRNA
Rfam family: Bacterial small subunit ribosomal RNA
Source: RNAcentral